GGAGAUGGUUGAGUCACUGGUGGGCUCCCCGGGCUUCAAACCCGCGCGCGGGGUGAGAACAUCGCUUCGGGUGGGUUCGAUUCCCACGCAUCUCCGCCA
RNAcentral lists this transfer RNA (99 nucleotides) under Deltaproteobacteria bacterium. Its description in RNAcentral is "tRNA-Sec". It matches the Rfam family "Selenocysteine transfer RNA". The record is from RNAcentral. Lineage: Bacteria; Pseudomonadati; Myxococcota; Myxococcia.